RNAcentral lists this ribosomal RNA (499 nucleotides) under uncultured bacterium. RNAcentral describes it as "partial 16S ribosomal RNA". It matches the Rfam family "Bacterial small subunit ribosomal RNA", at positions 28 to 507 of the family's 1533-position model. The record is from RNAcentral.
GACGAACGCUGGCGGCGUGCCUAAUACAUGCAAGUCGAGCGAAGUUUUUCUGGUUCUUGCACUAGAAAAACUUAGCGGCGAACGGGUGAGUAACACGUAAAGAACCUGCCUCAUAGACUGGGACAACUAUUGGAAACGAUAGCUAAUACCGGAUAACAGUAUUUCUCGCAUGAGAGAUAUUUAAAAGUUGGUUAUGCUAACACUAUGAGAUGGCUUUGCGGUGCAUUAGCUAGUUGGUGGGGUAAAGGCCCACCAAGGCGACGAUGCAUAGCCGACCUGAGAGGGUGAUCGGCCACACUGGGACUGAGACACGGCCCAGACUCCUACGGGAGGCAGCAGUAGGGAAUCUUCCGCAAUGGGCGAAAGCCUGACGGAGCAACGCCGCGUGAGUGAAGAAGGAUUUCGGUUCGUAAAGCUCUGUUGUUAGGGAAGAAUGGAUAUGUAGUAACUAUACAUAUAAGAGACGGUACCUAACCAGAAAGCCACGGCUAACUACGUG